Molecule: ribosomal RNA, 766 nt
Filed under: uncultured Streptococcus sp.
Lineage: Bacteria; Bacillati; Bacillota; Bacilli; Lactobacillales; Streptococcaceae
Description: bacterial SSU rRNA
Rfam family: Bacterial small subunit ribosomal RNA
Source: RNAcentral
GACGAACGCUGGCGGCGUGCCUAAUACAUGCAAGUAGAACGCUGAAGAGAGGAGCUUGCUUUUCUUGGAUGAGUUGCGAACGGGUGAGUAACGCGUAGGUAACCUGCCUUGUAGCGGGGGAUAACUAUUGGAAACGAUAGCUAAUACCGCAUAACAAUGGAUGACCCAUGUCAUUUAUUUGAAAGGGGCAAAUGCUCCACUACAAGAUGGACCUGCGUUGUAUUAGCUAGUAGGUGAGGUAACGGCUCACCUAGGCGACGAUACAUAGCCGACCUGAGAGGGUGAUCGGCCACAUUGGGACUGAGACACGGCCCAGACUCCUACGGGAGGCAGCAGUAGGGAAUCUUCGGCAAUGGGGGCAACCCUGACCGAGCAACGCCGCGUGAGUGAAGAAGGUUUUCGGAUCGUAAAGCUCUGUUGUAAGUCAAGAACGAGUGUGAGAGUGGAAAGUUCACACUGUGACGGUAGCUUACCAGAAAGGGACGGCUAACUACGUGCCAGCAGCCGCGGUAAUACGUAGGUCCCGAGCGUUGUCCGGAUUUAUUGGGCGUAAAGCGAGCGCAGGCGGUUUGAUAAGUCUGAAGUUAAAGGCUGUGGCUCAACCAUAGUUCGCUUUGGAAACUGUCAAACUUGAGUGCAGAAGGGGAGAGUGGAAUUCCAUGUGUAGCGGUGAAAUGCGUAGAUAUAUGGAGGAACACCGGUGGCGAAAGCGGCUCUCUGGUCUGUAACUGACGCUGAGGCUCGAAAGCGUGGGGGAGCGAACAGG